This 1671-nucleotide long non-coding RNA is filed under the name Populus trichocarpa (black cottonwood). RNAcentral's name for it is "long non-coding RNA (PTRI_LNC003344)". The record is from RNAcentral. Lineage: Eukaryota; Viridiplantae; Streptophyta; Magnoliopsida; Malpighiales; Salicaceae.
GGCCUUUAAAAAAACCUCUUAGUCAAUUGUUUAAGGGUAAAAUAUUCUUUGCAUUAUGAUAAUUUUGAUGUUAUAAAAAUGGAUUAUGGGCAAGACAUGUAUUUUUCAUUUUAAUUAUAUAGUAAAUUUAAAUCACUAUCCUUAAAAGAAAUAAUUUCUUAGCUUUUACUAAAGCUUACUCUCGUAUUUUCAUAGAAAAAAUACAUAAUGAAAUGACCUAUCUACCUUUGGAAUUAAAAAAUAAUAAUUGAUGAUGGGGGCUUUCUAUAAUUUUAAACUUUGUUGCAUGGUAAAAAGACCUUGACGCCCUUGCUAUCAAAUAAUUUAAGCCUUAGGUUAAAUGGUAUUUCUAUCAUUUUGUUGCUAUUUUUUUUUUGUAAUUAAUGAGUUGGGGUGUGGUUAUUUAAGUAUUUUCAUAAAUAAAAAAUAAUUAAAAAAAUAUGAUGAUGUGUGCUACACAAAUGUCAAUCGUUCCGUCGUCUUAGGAUGAUGCGUGCGGUUCAAGAGACCAAAAUUGUCAUUUCAGGGUUGCUUCUGAUGUGUCUCAACAUGUUCUCCAUGAAAAAGCAGCGCGUGCAUAGAUAAGUUCGCCGGUUUACCGUUGGCGGCUAUUCCUUUUUUCUUCUAUUUUCUUUCCUCUCUCUUCCUCGGUCUUUACGCCUGACCUGCAAUUUCUCAUAUCAACCAUUAAACUACUCUUUCUUUUUUAUUUAGUCCAUGUUCUUUUCUUAUUGUUUGCUUUAUUUUAAAUUAUUCAUGAAAUUAGAAUUUUAUUUCAAUUUCAUCCUCAUUCAAGUUCUUACUUUGUCAUAUUUGAUCCCAAUUCUUUUACUUGUUAUGUAUAGAGUUUGAGAUAAUUUGUUCAUUUGAAUAAUUUUUCUAAUUUCACCCUCCAUUGUUUUUUUCCCUAUUAUAUUUUUUCCUCAUUAUUUUGAUUUUUUUUCUUUGCAAAGUUUUUUAUAUUUUUUUUACUCGAUUUCAUUCUUCAACUUUUAAUUUGUUUGGAUUUUAGAUUCUUGGUUAAGUCUCUAUCAAGAAUUUCACGAGUUGCAAGUUUUGAAAAUUAACCCAACUUUAGAGGGUUCUACGAAGAGGAUGAAAUAAAAAAAAACAAAACAAAUAGCAAUCAAAAUAAUGAUGAUCAAAUCUAGUAUAAAAACUAAAUGAAAUUAAACAAUGAGAUGAAAUUAAAAAAUGAAAUAAAUCAAGAAAAUGAUAAAAAAAAUCAAUAAAAAGAUUGAGAACAAAUCUGGUAUAAAGAUUAAAUAAAAUAAAACAAUGAGGAUGAAAUUAAAAAAUAUAAUAAAUCAAGAAAAUAAAAAAAAACAAUCAAAAGAAUGAGAACCAAAUUUGGUAUAAAAAUUAAAUGAAAUAAAAUAAUGAGGGAUAAAAUUAAUGAAUAAAUAAAUAAAUGAUAAAAACUAAGAAAUAACAAUAAAAAGAUUGAGGACCAAAUAUGAUAGAUGAAAAAAUUGAAGGAGGUUAAGAUUGAAAAAAAUUCUAAUUUUAUAUAUUAAUUUAAAUAAAAAUAAUAAUAAAAAGAACAGAGACUAAAUUCGAAGGAAAAACAAAUUAAAGGGAAACUUGGAAAAAUUAGAGGGGUAGGCGUGGAAAUUGGGGUUGUGAGAGAAAAGAAGAAAAAAAUACCUCGAGUGUUAAACUGUAGAUCUG